AUUGAACGCUGGCGGCAGGCCUAACACAUGCAAGUCGAGCGGAUGAAGGGAGCUUGCUCCUGGAUUCAGCGGCGGACGGGUGAGUAAUGCCUAGGAAUCUGCCUGGUAGUGGGGGAUAACGUCCGGAAACGGGCGCCAAUACCGCAUACGUCCUGAGGGAGAAAGUGGGGGAUCUUCGGACCUCACGCUAUCAGAUGAGCCUAGGUCGGAUUAGCUAGUUGGUGGGGUAAAGGCCUACCAAGGCGACGAUCCGUAACUGGUCUGAGAGGAUGAUCAGUCACACUGGAACUGAGACACGGUCCAGACUCCUACGGGAGGCAGCAGUGGGGAAUAUUGGACAAUGGGCGAAAGCCUGAUCCAGCCAUGCCGCGUGUGUGAAGGAGGUCUUCGGAUUGUAAAGCACUUUAAGUUGGGAGGAAGAGCAGUAAGUUAAUACCUUGCUGUUUUGACGUUACCAACAGAAUAAGCACCGGCUAACUUCGUG
This 484-nucleotide ribosomal RNA is filed under the name uncultured bacterium. Its description in RNAcentral is "partial 16S ribosomal RNA". It matches the Rfam family "Bacterial small subunit ribosomal RNA", at positions 30 to 507 of the family's 1533-position model. The record is from RNAcentral.